RNAcentral lists this ribosomal RNA (369 nucleotides) under uncultured bacterium. RNAcentral describes it as "bacterial SSU rRNA". It matches the Rfam family "Bacterial small subunit ribosomal RNA", at positions 433 to 793 of the family's 1533-position model. The record is from RNAcentral.
CUUUCAGUCGUGAGGAAGGUAGUGUAGUUAAUAGCUGCAUUAUUUGACGUUAGCGACAGAAGAAGCACCGGCUAACUCCGUGCCAGCAGCCGCGGUAAUACGGAGGGUGCGAGCGUUAAUCGGAAUUACUGGGCGUAAAGCGCAUGCAGGUGGUUGUUAAGUCAGAUGUGAAAGACCCGGGGCGUCAACCUCGGAAUUGCAUUUGAAACUGGCAGACUAGAGUACUGUAGAGGGGGUAGAAUUUCAGGUGUAGCGGUGAAAUGCGUAGAGAUCUGAAGGAAUACCGGUGGCGAAGGCGGCCCCCUCGGACAGAUACUGACACUCAGAUGCGAAAGCGUGGGGAGCAAACAGGAUUAGAUACCCUGGUAG